RNAcentral lists this unclassified non-coding RNA (217 nucleotides) under plant metagenome. Its description in RNAcentral is "partial contains small subunit ribosomal RNA and internal transcribed spacer 1". The stretch from base 1 to 46 matches the Rfam family "Eukaryotic small subunit ribosomal RNA", at positions 1786 to 1831 of the family's 1831-position model. The record is from RNAcentral.
AAGUCGUAACAAGGUUUCCGUAGGUGAACCUGCGGAAGGAUCAUUAUUGAAAUAAACCUGAUGGGUUGUUGGCUGGUUCUCUAGGGAGCAUGUGCACGCCUUGUCAUCUUUUAUGUCUCCACCUGUGCACUUUUUGUAGACCUUUCAGGCUCUAUGUUGCUUCAAUUUACCCCAAUAGUAUGUUAAUAGAAAUGUUGUGCCUAUAUAAUAUAUACAA